AAAGCGACCAAAAGUAUGUUAUUUUUCCUUUUAAUAUUAGGAUGUUAUUGUCAUAAAAUAUUGGCUUUUUCGUGUUAGUUCGCAACUUCUUAUUAGAAUAUUUUGGCUUUAUUCUUGUAGAAUGACUGCAGAUUUUUUCAUUUUUGCUGUUUUGUAGUAUUCUUGUUAUAGUCAAUUUUUUAGAAUGUGCCAUGGGCCCGAAAUGGACCCCGGGGCGCACCUUGGACACCCCAGCAAUACGCUUUGCACCGGGAGAAGACUUGCUUGUAUAUUGCAUUUGUACGUUCAUGCUUUUGGAGUUGUAUUUUGUGAAAUAAACGUUUUUUUGGUGAAGUGCAUGCAAGUGGCCCAAUCAUUUUCUCCACAAAUAGCCAGUAUAGUUUUUAAAAGUAAAAAUUCUGAAGACGUACCUGGAAUGAUGUGAUUCAUGAAUGACAACAUUACGCUAUGUUUGUCAUCCAGAAAGUGUAACAUGCCCCCAGCGCCGAUGCGGUGUUCUUAACGGUGACAAACGCUACAAAAAAUGCAGCAGUGAGUAUUGCUGACAGCUUUAAUGACAAUAGCGCAUAAACAGGAAGAAGCAGACGACGUGGUUGGCAUCUCAGCGAGCCCAUCCGUCUUAGAGGCACGUGGCCGUUUCCUUGGAGGGGCACAUUUGGCCGAAGCAGAUCUCCUUGAAGCCGGUCGCCUUGGUCAUCCCGCUGGCUGUAUGGUUGUAGAGGAGGCAGUAGUCGUUGGGGCUGCUGGCGGUGGUGUUGACUGAGGAGCUGCUAGACGCCUGCCAGGGAAGGACACAAGGAUGGAGGGUUUUCAUGUACGUCCACAAGAACUUUGGGGAGGACGGUGGGCUGAACUGGAAGGUGAUUUGGUUGGUUUUGUUGGUGUUGGGCGACGUGUGCGUCAUCUGGAGGACGGAGGGCGAGUACUUCACAAACUAAACAACACAACAACACAACUUGUCACACAACAACUUUCUUGCACUCCCUUGGAGCACAUUGUCACGUAUCACUAACUGUAACUAAAUGUGUUUAUUAUUUUGUAUUUUUAAUCUUGCAGACAGAAAUACAUUUGCAUACUGUGAUCAACUUUGUAUUUUUUAAGUAUUGUUAUACUUUGAAUGUUGAUGAACUGUUUAUAUUUAUUACUAUUUCUGUAUAGUUACAUUUUUGGUAUUAUAAUUAUUUACAGA
Molecule: long non-coding RNA, 1189 nt
Organism: Dunckerocampus dactyliophorus (ringed pipefish)
Lineage: Eukaryota; Metazoa; Chordata; Actinopteri; Syngnathiformes; Syngnathidae
Exons: 3
Source: RefSeq, a predicted model, not a curated record